Molecule: non-coding RNA, 45 nt
Filed under: Schistosoma margrebowiei
Lineage: Eukaryota; Metazoa; Platyhelminthes; Trematoda; Strigeidida; Schistosomatidae
Source: RNAcentral
AUUCAGUCGACGAAUCUCGAAUAGGAUGAAACGCGCGUCCUGGAU